CCUACGGGGAGCAGCAGUGGGGAAUAUUGGACAAUGGGCGAAAGCCUGAUCCAGCCAUGCCGCGUGUGUGAAGAAGGCCUUCGGGUUGUAAAGCACUUUCAGUGGGGAAGAAAGCCUUGGGGCUAAUACCCUCGAGGAAGGACAUCACCCACAGAAGAAGCACCGGCUAACUCCGUGCCAGCAGCCGCGGUAAUACGGAGGGUGCGAGCGUUAAUCGGAAUUACUGGGCGUAAAGCGCGCGUAGGCGGUCUGAUAAGCCGGUUGUGAAAGCCCCGGGCUCAACCUGGGAACGGCAUCCGGAACUGUCAGGCUAGAGUGCAGGAGAGGAAGGUAGAAUUCCCGGUGUAGCGGUGAAAUGCGUAGAGAUCGGGAGGAAUACCAGUGGCGAAGGCGGCCUUCUGGACUGACACUGACGCUGAGGUGCGAAAGCGUGGGUAGCAAACAGGAUUAGAUACCCCAUAGUC
RNAcentral lists this ribosomal RNA (464 nucleotides) under Vreelandella stevensii. Its description in RNAcentral is "partial 16S ribosomal RNA". It matches the Rfam family "Bacterial small subunit ribosomal RNA", at positions 338 to 795 of the family's 1533-position model. Lineage: Bacteria; Pseudomonadati; Pseudomonadota; Gammaproteobacteria; Oceanospirillales; Halomonadaceae. The record is from RNAcentral.